Oreochromis niloticus (Nile tilapia) is the source of this 1127-nucleotide long non-coding RNA. RefSeq lists it as uncharacterized. Lineage: Eukaryota; Metazoa; Chordata; Actinopteri; Cichliformes; Cichlidae. The record is from RefSeq and is a predicted model, not a curated record. The transcript has 3 exons.
UUGCCUACCCCUGCUUUAGACCAUUGCUGUUGGUGAUGUAAGCCUUGGAUGCAGGUGCUUGGCCAUGGACACUCAUCCCAUGAAGCUCCUUUACACAACUGUCUUGACCUAAUCUGAAGGUCACAUAAAGUUUGGACAUCUGUCUGCAUGCCAAGGUGCUUGAUUUUAUACACCCGUGGCCAUGGAAGUGACUGGAACACCUGAAUUCAAUGAUAUCGCCGAGUAUUGGCAGGCCUCUUUUUCUCCGCUGUUGAUGGUGCUAUCACCGCUAACUGUAGACCAACAGAAGGGCAUAAAAAUUAGCAACUGAUGUGAAUUGCACACAAUAUCACUGAAAGCAGAGGGGGGAAAGCUGCAAAAGCAAACACCUGUUACACGGGCCUAGAAGACCAGUUCUCAACUGCCUGACAACCUCCCAUUGCUAGGGAAUAAACAGGAAAAAAUGAGAGCUGGCAAUGACUUGUCAAUGUGAAGUCAGUGAAAUCAUGCAGCCCCUGAGAUUGUUAAGUGAUCCUUGGUUCCACCAGUCACCAGGGAAAAGUAUAUAUUUCUGCCCCGGAUGGCAAGUUAUUGCUGUUGUGUUCAAUGUAAUGACUGUGCUCAGUCUAAUAAAGCCUUCAGCAAUUUUGGGUGCACAUGUUAUUUUCAGCUCUCUCUUUCUCUCUACCACAACAGAGUAACGCAACAUCCAUAUCAAAGCAGCUGCAGCCCCAGUCCAUGUGUCAAUCUCCCGCUCCCUUCUCCUCUCACUCAUAAACAAGACCCGGAGAUGGUUAAACUCUUGCGGCAGGAGGUCAUCCCUAACACAGAGUAGGCACCCCACCCUUUUCCAGUCUGGGUAGUGACAAAAAGAAUGAAACUACAGAUGCAAUCGGUGGAAAUGAGCUUUUUCCGGCGCUGUUAGUCUUCCACAUCGAAAGGAGCCAGUGAAGUGGUUCGGGCAUCUUCGUCUCCAAAACCCUCCAAUGUGGCUGAAUUACAACAAUUUUGCAAAGAUGAAGGGGCCAGAAUUUCUCCACUGUGCCGUAAAAGACUCAUUACCAGUUAUCGUUAACACUUGAUUGCAGUUGUUGCUGUUAAGGGUGGUCCAUCGAGUUAUUAGGUUUAGGGGCCAAUCACUUUUUCAC